Salvia miltiorrhiza (redroot sage) is the source of this 670-nucleotide long non-coding RNA. RefSeq lists it as uncharacterized. The transcript is spliced from 4 exons. NCBI's taxonomy places the organism in Eukaryota, Viridiplantae, Streptophyta, Magnoliopsida, Lamiales, Lamiaceae. The record is from RefSeq and is a predicted model, not a curated record.
CCCUAUGUUGUCCAUCAGCCACCCUACUUACCUGCUGCAGCCCCAAUUUCAGCCACAAAAGUCAGCCUUGAGCCAUGCUUUUGUGCAGGCAGUCCAAUCUCCAUCUUUCUAUCAUAACUAAACAUACUUAGGCCAUUUCUUCUUGGCAGUUCCCACCAUUUCAGACUCUCUUUGGCGUACAGAAUCCAGCGACUGCAAUCAAGUAAAUCAAAGCAGCCACCCAUCUGUGUUUCAACAACUGGAAACUCUUAAAGGCUUUGAACGUCAGGAGGACUAGCACUGCUAUUCCGAUUCAGAGAUAACGUUAAACGACAGGCAUUGCCUAUACAGGUUAAUGGCGGGUGAUGACGGGGCAGAGCUGAGGCUAGAGUUCAACUCCUUAUUUUGAUUUCCGCUGCAGAACUAGCCAGUAUCUGUCUUUUGUUUCUUAACUUAAGACCUAUUAUGUUGUGAUUCUAAACAAUAUUUUUUGUUGAGCCUAAACUAUUGACUCUCAAAGUAUUUCAAUCAGUGAAUGUUGGUUAUCUGAAGCAUGACACUAAACUUGUGAUCCUGAAGUUGUUAUGUUUGUUGAUUGAUUCGUAUCACUUGAAUACCUGUCUUUCUUCAUCCAAAGGGGCUAAGCCCGAUUGUUAUCCCUUUUAUUCGGAUUUCACAAGGAUUUUCCCUU